GUCACUGUAGCUUAACCAAAGCAUGGCACUGAAGAUGCCAAGAUGGCCGUCACACACACACCCAGAGACAAAAGA
This 75-nucleotide transfer RNA is filed under the name Gallinago gallinago (common snipe). RNAcentral describes it as "tRNA-Phe". Lineage: Eukaryota; Metazoa; Chordata; Aves; Charadriiformes; Scolopacidae. The record is from RNAcentral. RNAcentral also lists the same sequence under 2 other names.